GUCUCUUCUCCUCAUAUGGCUGAAGGACAUCGUGAACCAUUUUUGGUGGUGUUGUAAAACAGCUGUCACAAUUGAGCAGUUCCUUCACGGGCAUCUGGAAAUCACGGCUGGAAAGGAGUGGAUUCGGAGAGACUCAAAAUGCCACAAAAGCCCUGGUGGAAAUUGUGCACAAUAAGCGCUGGCAGAAGGAUGUACACAAAUACCUGCGCUUCAGAUCAACUGCCGAGCUUGAGGCAUUUCAAAAUCAUAUUUUGAUGCAUGCCAGCAAGCGCUUUGCCUUCAGUCCCCCAGUGUAUGAGGCCAGAGUCCUGCUUGCUGCUCUGGA
Long non-coding RNA from Epinephelus moara (kelp grouper), 325 nucleotides. RefSeq lists it as uncharacterized. NCBI's taxonomy places the organism in Eukaryota, Metazoa, Chordata, Actinopteri, Perciformes, Serranidae. The transcript is spliced from 3 exons. The record is from RefSeq and is a predicted model, not a curated record.